GCAUUGGUGGUAUAGUGGUGAGCAUAGCUGCCUUCCAAGCAGUUGACCCGGGUUCGAUUCCUGUAGUGCCAAUGCA
Dallia pectoralis (Alaska blackfish) is the source of this 76-nucleotide non-coding RNA. The record is from the annotation of a GenBank genome assembly. NCBI's taxonomy places the organism in Eukaryota, Metazoa, Chordata, Actinopteri, Esociformes, Umbridae.